Molecule: ribosomal RNA, 460 nt
Filed under: uncultured bacterium
Lineage: Bacteria
Description: partial 16S ribosomal RNA
Rfam family: Bacterial small subunit ribosomal RNA
Source: RNAcentral
CCUACGGGUGGCAGCAGUGAGGACUAUUGGUCAAUGGGCGGGAGCCUGAACCAGCCAAGUCGCGUGAGGGAAGACGGUCCUAUGGAUUGUAAACCUCUUUAGGCGGGGAGCAAUGCCGGGCACGCGUGCCCGGAGGGAGAGUACCCGCCGCAUCAGCAUCGGCUAACUCCGUGCCAGCAGCCGCGGUACUACGGAGGAUGCGGGCGGUAUCCGGGUUUAUUGGGUUUAAAGGGUGCGUAGGCGGAUUUUUAAGUCAGCGGGAAAAUGUGCGGGCUCAACCCGGGCCGGCCGUUGAAACUGGGGAGCUUGAGUGGGCGAGAAGUAUGCGGAAUGCGUGGUGUAGCGGUGAAAUGCAUAGAUAGCACGAAGAACUCCGAUUGCGAAGGCAGCAUACCGGCGCCCGACUGACGCUGAGGCACGAAAGCGUGGGGAUCGAACAGGAUUAGAUACCCUUGUAGUC